GCGAAGCCGACACCAAAGAUGGAGAAUCGGCUUUGAUGAAUGAAGAAAACUCCUCAGAUCUCAAAGGGUUGAGUGGAGACUGGUACUCUGAUCUGAUGUGUUUCCUGGAGACCGGCUGCAAACAGAUCAGCAUUGUGACGCAAAGACAAAAGAAGAUGAAGAGGAGGAAGGAGUGGACAUGGAUCAAGAGGCUGCAACGACUUCAGUAUCGAACCCUUUGACCCCUUUGACCCAAGCAUGAGGCAGUGAAGGAACAGGACAGUAUAUUAGCUUUACAUUUGAAUUGGAAAGUAAUUGGUAAGAUUUAAAUAUGAAAGUAACAUUAUGAAUUCAUAUUAGGUUUACUUAUUAUGUCCAGAAAUUGUAUCCACUGUACUUUCUGGAUAUAGUGUAGAUUUUGAAAAGGGGAACUUUUCUUUACACAUGACAGGAGAUGUAGAAAUGUAAGUUUUAGUCGUGUUCUUUUCUUUUUCCUAAUGAUGGUGGAUGUGGAGCUUUCUAUGAAAUGCUGUAGGUUUACACAUGUGCUGUCAGAUCUUUCCAAAUAAAGGAUGUUACAUCAAA
This is a long non-coding RNA of Limanda limanda (common dab), 564 nucleotides long. RefSeq lists it as uncharacterized. The transcript is spliced from 2 exons. The record is from RefSeq and is a predicted model, not a curated record. Lineage: Eukaryota; Metazoa; Chordata; Actinopteri; Pleuronectiformes; Pleuronectidae.